AUGAUGCAUAACUGUAAAAAAAAAAAAAAUAUUGAGAAAUUGGUUAUGUCUCGCAAAGAGCGCAACCCUUGUCUUCUGUUGCCAUCAGGUCACGCUGGGCACUCUGAAGAGACUGCCGGUGACAAACCCGAGGAAGGUGGGGAGGAGGUCAAGUCAGCACGGCCUUUAUGUGUGGGGGUACACACGUGCUACAAUGGCCGGUACAAACCGUUGCAAACUCGCGAGGGUGAGAUAAUAUGAGAAAACCGGUCUCAGUUUGGGUUGUCGGUUGCAAAUUGCAUGCCUGAAGUUGGAAUCGCUUGUAAUCGCGGAUUCGCCUGCCGCGGUGAAUACGUUCCCGAGCCCUGUACACACCCCCCGUCACAUCACGAAAGAGGGGGGUACUCGAAGUGGCCACGCUAACCCGCAAGGGAGGCUAGCGCCGAAGGUAUAGUUAGUGAUUGGAGGUGAAGUCGUAACAAGUGUAGCCUGUAGUGAGAAGCUGCGGCUGGAUCACCUCCUAAUCUAGAUGCAUCGCGAGUCGC
Molecule: ribosomal RNA, 524 nt
Filed under: uncultured Acidobacteriaceae bacterium
Lineage: Bacteria; Pseudomonadati; Acidobacteriota; Terriglobia; Terriglobales; Acidobacteriaceae
Description: partial 16S ribosomal RNA
Rfam family: Bacterial small subunit ribosomal RNA
Source: RNAcentral